Long non-coding RNA from Macaca nemestrina (pig-tailed macaque), 2208 nucleotides. Lineage: Eukaryota; Metazoa; Chordata; Mammalia; Primates; Cercopithecidae. The record is from Ensembl.
UUAAUUUCAAUCCCAGUUUUGCCAUGUGAAGCUGUGUGACCUUGAGUAACACACUUAACCUCUCUGACCCCUUUGCUUACCAGUAAAUGGGGGCAUUUCUUACCUUGAGAGGUUAUUGAGAGAGUUCAGUAAGAGAUGGCGUGUGAAAUCAUUGCUGAUUAUUUGUGUUAAUUCUUCGAAGGCAAGCGCUGCUCCAUACCCUGAGCAUAGGGAAAGGGCCAACUUAGCUCCUGAUCCCGCAGAGGUUCCAGUCUGAGUCGCUGGAAUGGGAAGAGAACAGCGGACUCCAGGAGGUUGGGGUUGACCCUGAGCGGAGAGGAAGGACGAAAGGUAAUCUGUAGUCCUAAUGAACGCGAAAUGGGACCUGGCACAAUUCGAAGAGGUCGCAUCGACGAUUUAAAACGAGCGAGCGGUUUUGCCCACUGGUUGCUAUCUAAAGAAUUCUUCCAGUUCGGCAGCCCCGCAUGGGGGCAAGGGGUGACACACAGAGAGAGAGAAGGGUCCACGGAUUCCCAAGGUGCCCCGGAUCCAGGGUGCUGAGAUGCAAAGAGGAGAGGCUGCUCCCUAAGGAGUACGCCUUGACAGCAGAUCCUGGAAGACAGCCUUAGACCGGAUUCUGGAAAGGCCUGGAGUCUCUUCCGGAACAGCAGAGCUUCUGCCAAAUGGAACUGUUUAAGUGCAGGAUCUUGUAGAAAUUACUCUCAGCCAGGAAUCUAGAGACUGCGUCCAGCACUGUCUGGGCUGUGGAUUGGCUGUGUGACCUUGGACCAGUCCCUGCUCCUUUCUGAGCCUUGGUGUCUUCAACUGUAAAAUGAAGACUUAGACUUGAUCAAGUGGCUUCCUUACAGCCGUUCUCAGACUGCCAACUUCUCUUGGGCAAGAGCCAUGCCUUCUCCUCUCUAGCAAACCAUAGAAUUUAGAAUCAGAGGACAGGGUUCAACACAAAGUCCAUCACUCGGAGCCGGACUGUGUAUGUGACCGUGGGCAGAGCACCACACUACUCUGACCCUCUGCUCCCCACGGAAAGACACAGACCACAGUGCUCGCCCUGUGGUCUGCCACAGAUCCUGUGAGUGGUGGAUGUCGAAGACCUUUGGACAAUAGAGCGAGGUGCUCCACUGGGCUAUCAGCCUGCCCCCUGCCUGCCCAGUGCCUGGCUCCAUCCUGGCUCUGGAGAUCUGGGCCCAGGCUUGUCGAUGGAGCCACCAUCUGCCCGUGGUGCUUACAGAGCUCUAGAAACAGGAGUGGGGACCCUGUGCCCAGCUGCCAUAUAAAGUGUCAGUAACGCUGCCCAGAGGCCUCGGGGCCCGUGACAUCAUGGACAGCAGUUUCCACGUUGGAGCUCACAGAGCUAAGUCCAUUUGAAAAAAUAGCACUGCCUUUUUUCUUCCUUUCUUUUUCCAUUUUGGCUAAGGCAUGGAAAGUGAAAGCUGCUGAAUUACUGCAGGAAGAAGUAAAGGCUGGAUUCUGAAAGUGGCUUUGGUUUCUGGGCCCUAAAAUCAACGGCAGAACCUGGAAGCCUAGCCCCUGCUUUCUCAUGCCCACCUUGCUCUUGCUCCAGGCUCCCCUGACAGGACCAAGGUCAAGGAAGACCAUAGCCUGCCUCUAGCUCCCAGAUGGACCUCAUCUUGCCAUCUAAAAAACAGGCAUGAUAGCUGUUCCCCUGAUCAUUGCUGGUAAGAAUCAAAUGCAACGAUAGCCAUCCCAUCCAUCCAUCCAUCCAUCCGUCCAUCCAUCCAUCCAUUCAGUGUUUACAAAACACCUUCUAUAUAGCAGGCACUAUUCUAGGAGCUGGGGUAGAGCAGAAAGCAAAGCAGACAAAACCUCUGCCUGCAUGGAGCUGCCGUGGUGGGGAAGACAAUCACCAGGUAAAGAAGGAAAGGAUGCAGGACGCACUAUGGAGGAAACCACCAUGGGUGGGGGUGGGGGGAUAGAGAGUGCCAGUGGGGAGGCACAGGGUCUAUUUGCAGUGAUUUUUGUUUUUUAGGAUUUGGGGUUUUUUUUGGUUUUUUUUUUUUGAGACAGGAUCUCUCUCCGUCACCCAGGCUAGGGUGCAGUGCUGCGAUCAUGGCUCACAGCAGCCUCAACCUUCUGGGCUCAAGCAAUCCUCCUAUCUCGGCCUCCCAAAGUGCUGGAAUUACAGGUAUGAGCCUCUCCGCCCAGCCUGUUGGCAGUUUUAAACAGGGUGGUCAGGGCAGGCCUCACUGA